GAUGAACGCUAGCGGCAGGCCUAAUACAUGCAAGUCGGACGGGAUUCAGGAGCUUGCUUCUGAUGAGAGUGGCGCACGGGUGCGUAACACGUAUGUAACCUACCUUUAUCAGGGGGAUAGCCUCUCGAAAGAGAGAUUAAGCCCGCAUAAAAUCACAGCACAGCAUUGUGUAAUGAUCAAAUAUUUAUAGGAUAAAGAUGGGCAUGCGGAACAUUAGCUAGAUGGCGGGGUAACGGCCCACCAUGGCGACGAUGUUUAGGGGAUCUGAGAGGAUGGCCCCCCAAACGGGAACUGAGACACGGACCGGACGCCAAGGGGGGGAAGGAGAAGGGAAAAAGGGGCAAGGGGGGGAAGCCUAAACCAGGAAGCCCGGGGGAAAAAAGACGGGCCUAGGGGUUUGAAACUGUUUUUAUAAGGGAAGAAACCCAGAAACGUGUAGUUGGCUGAAUGUACUUAAAAAAAAAGGAUGGGCAAAUCCGGG
This 481-nucleotide ribosomal RNA is filed under the name uncultured bacterium. Its description in RNAcentral is "partial 16S ribosomal RNA". It matches the Rfam family "Bacterial small subunit ribosomal RNA", at positions 28 to 506 of the family's 1533-position model. The record is from RNAcentral.